AGUGAACGUUGGCGGCGUGGAUUAGGCAUGCAAGUCGAGCGAGAACCGUAGCAAUACGGGGACAGCGGCGAAAGGGACAGUAAUGUGUAGGUACCUACCCCGAGGUCUGCGAUAGCUGCGGGAAACUGCAGGUAAUACCGGAUAAUGUCUUCGGACCAAAGGUGUGAUUCCACCUUGGGAGGGGCCUGCAUCCUAUUAGCUUGUUGGCGGGGUAACGGCCCACCAAGGCGACGAUGGGUAGCGGGUGUGAGAGCACGACCCGCGUCAUUGGGACUGGGGCCCUGCCCAGACACCUACGGGUGGCUGCAGUCGAGGGUCUUCGGCAAUGGGCGCAAGCCUGACCGAGCGACGCCGCGUGCGGGAUGAAGGCCUUCGGGUUGUAAACCGCUGUCGUAGAGGAGGAAAUGCAGGGGGGUUCUCCCUUCUGCUUGACCUAUUCUAGGAGGAAGGACGGGCUAAGUUCGUGCCAGCAGCCGCGGUAA
Molecule: ribosomal RNA, 482 nt
Filed under: uncultured bacterium
Lineage: Bacteria
Description: partial 16S ribosomal RNA
Rfam family: Bacterial small subunit ribosomal RNA
Source: RNAcentral